AACGCGAAGAACCUUACCUACCCUUGACAUCUAUAGAAUUUUGCAGAGAUGCAGAAGUGCCGAAAGGAACUGUAAGACAGGUGCUGCAUGGCUGUCGUCAGCUCGUGUUGUGAGAUGUUGGGUUAAGUCCCGUAACGAGCGCAACCCUUAUCCUUAGUUACCAGCACGUAAUGGUGGGGACUCUAAGGAGACUGCUGGUGAAGAACCGGAGGAAGGCGGGGACGACGUCAAGUCAUCAUGGCCUUUAUGGGUAGGGCUACACACGUGCUACAAUGGUCAGUACAGAGGGUUGCCAACCUGCGAAGGGGAGCCAAUCUCAGAAAGCUGAUCGUAGUCCGGAUUGAAGUCUGCAACUCGACUUCAUGAAGUCGGAAUCGCUAGUAAUCGCGAAUCAGAAUGUCGCGGUGAAUACGUUCCCGGGCCUUGUACACACCGGUAUCUC
Molecule: ribosomal RNA, 442 nt
Filed under: uncultured bacterium
Lineage: Bacteria
Description: bacterial SSU rRNA
Rfam family: Bacterial small subunit ribosomal RNA
Source: RNAcentral